This 682-nucleotide ribosomal RNA is filed under the name uncultured marine bacterium. Its description in RNAcentral is "bacterial SSU rRNA". It matches the Rfam family "Bacterial small subunit ribosomal RNA", at positions 61 to 788 of the family's 1533-position model. The record is from RNAcentral.
GUCGAACGGAGUAGCAAUACUCAGUGGCAGACGGGUGAGUAACAUGUAGGUAUCUGCCCUUUGGCCUGGAAUAACACGAGGAAACUUGUGCUAAUACCGGAUAAGUCUUUACGGAGAAAGCUUUAUGCACCAUUGGAUGAGCCUGCACUUGAUUAGUUUGUUGGUGGGGUAAUGGCCUACCAAGACUGUGAUCAAUAGCUGAUUUGAGAGGAUGAUCAGCCACAUUGGGACUGAGACACGGCCCAAACUCCUACGGGAGGCAGCAGUGGGGAAUCUUGCACAAUGGAGGAAACUCUGAUGCAGCGAUGCCGCGUGAGUGAAGAAGGCCCUUGGGUUGUAAAGCUCUUUCGUCGGGGAAGAAAAUGACUGUACCCGAAUAAGAAGGUCCGGCUAACUUCGUGCCAGCAGCCGCGGUAGUACGAAGGGACCUAGCGUAGUUCGGAAUUACUGGGCUUAAAGAGUUCGUAGGUGGUUGAAAAAGUUGGUGGUGAAAUCCCAGAGCUUAACUCUGGAACUGCCAUCAAAACUUUUCAGCUAGAGUUUGAUAGAGGAAAGCAGAAUUUCUAGUGUAGAGGUGAAAUUCGUAGAUAUUAGAAAGAAUACCAAUUGCGAAGGCAGCUUUCUGGAUCAUUACUGACACUGAGGAACGAAAGCAUGGGUAGCGAAGAGGAUUAGAUACCCU